UCCAUCGUUUCACAGUAGCCUCUCUAUAAUAUUUAUUAUCCUCGCCCCUCUUCGUCUGGCUACGUGUUUAUCUUUGGCUUGCUCCUUGGAGCCACCUCACUUCCGGCUGCUAAGAAAAUAAUGGAAAGCUUGAUCUAUUUAUCAUCAAACCAGUUUAUUACAGAAUUUGAAACCCUCCACAGAUCAGGAUCAUCUCAUUUGAAUAAAUCCUGACAAGCAGUGUGACGGUUUUGCCUUCUAUAUUAUUUUCCAUUACCACCAAUACAUGUGUUUUUAAGUAAACAUGUAUUUGAAUAUCAUUAAAAACGCUAUUAUGAGCCACAGUCGAUUUAUUGAUACUCAGAAAUAAGCUGCAGGCUUCAUGUAACUCAACAUUUCAGUCAUUAAAAUUCACCACUGUCCUUGUUUCCUGUGGUGCUUUCAUGUUUUUUUUUUCAUGGCGCCAUUAAGACAUUUUAAAACUACGAUCAAUGUCGUUUGAUUGAUUUUAACAUCUAAUAACAGCUAUUCUAACAAGUAUAAAUCGCAGGUAGACCAAUAUUCAGUGGAGAAAAUCGAGUGGUGACGUGUUGGAAAUUUAUCAUCAGUAUUUCAUUUACAGAAUUUAUCUCGAUGAUCUGUACACAUGCCUGAUAUCAGUUACUGUUGAUCCAUCCUGAUUCAACACAUUUCAUGUAUAUUAAGAUGUAUUUUCUACUUAGUAUUGCUAAACCAUAAAAGAACAAACAGACAAACUAAGCAAACACUGUUACCAAAUAACCUGUUUAUUUCAUUGAGCUAAUGAAGUCAAUUAACAUAAUGCCUUGGUACCCACGCCAAAAUUUAAUAUGCCUCCACAAAAUCCACGAGUGCACAAUAUUGUUAAUACAGUGAGUAUUGAAAAUAGUCACUCUCACUUAAUAAUGAUGAUGUUCAUUGUCUGAUUAUAUCAUAAAUGACUACUAUUGCAAUAGAUGUAACAUUCACAAUGUUGUUAGCUUAUGGCAUGUUAAACUUGUUCAGUGAUUGAUCUCCCAUAUCAAAAACUAUCAGGUUGGCAUACAUAACCUUCUCUUAAAGGCAGUAGCUCAGUGUACAUUUCUAGCAGUAGAGACUAUAAAAAGAAAGCAUUUGUUAUAUCUGAGCCUAAUGGUAAACAUUAUCGUGUCUAUAUCUUAAUUGUAAAUAUCUGACAUUGAGACAACAAUGUACGAAAAGUGUUCAGUAAAAUUCCAAUUUGUCUGUCGGACAUAAGGCAGAGUAGUGAAAUAGUUCUGCUUCAUUAAAAACUACACAUACAGAGAAAUAAAAACAUUUGAGAAAACAAUAAAACUUGAUGCAAAAAUUAACAUUUGACAGAUUUAAACUUGACGAUGUAGCCCUCAAUUCUUGCAGUUGUUGUAGCAUUGUCGAGCAGUAGUGUGUCCGUGUUGUUACUGCUACUCGGGCAUUCCUUCUUCCUCUCUUUCUCCAGGUAUUUGCUUGUAAUGUUACUCAACGCUUCAACAACUGAUUCCAGCUGCUGCUGCUGUUGAAUUUCAAUAUCCCUUCCCAAAGUUAAGUGUAAACAGUUCAGCCAUUAAGACCACCUUAAAUUAUAAAUCACUGAGGGGGAGUAAAGUAAAAAAAACAAAA
Molecule: long non-coding RNA, 1614 nt
Organism: Siniperca chuatsi (mandarin fish)
Lineage: Eukaryota; Metazoa; Chordata; Actinopteri; Centrarchiformes; Sinipercidae
Exons: 2
Source: RefSeq, a predicted model, not a curated record